GACGAACGCUGGCGGCGUGCUUAACACAUGCAAGUCGAACGGAAAGGCCCUGCUUUUGUGGGGUGCUCGAGUGGCGAACGGGUGAGUAGCACGUGAGUAACCUGCCCUUGACUUUGGGAUAACUUCAGGAAACUGGGGCUAAUACCGGAUAGGAGCUCCUGCUGCAUGGUGGGGGUUGGAAAGUUUCGGCGGUUGGGGAUGGACUCGCGGCUUAUCAGCUUGUUGGUGGGGUAGUGGCUUACCAAGGCUUUGACGGGUAGCCGGCCUGAGAGGGUGACCGGCCACAUUGGGACUGAGAUACUGCCCAGACUCCUACGGGAGGCAGCAGUGGGGAAUAUUGCACAAUGGGCGGAAGCCUGAUGCAGCAACGCCGCGUGCGGGAUGACGGCCUUCGGGUUGUAAACUGCUUUCGCCUGUGACGAAGCGUGAGUGACGGUAAUGGGUAAAGAAGCACCGGCUAACUACGUG
RNAcentral lists this ribosomal RNA (468 nucleotides) under uncultured bacterium. Its description in RNAcentral is "partial 16S ribosomal RNA". It matches the Rfam family "Bacterial small subunit ribosomal RNA", at positions 28 to 507 of the family's 1533-position model. The record is from RNAcentral.